UCGAGCGGUAACAGAUCUAGCUUGCUAGAUGCUGACGAGCGGCGGACGGGUGAGUAAUGCAUAGGAAUCUGCCCGAUAGUGGGGGAUAACCUGGGGAAACCCAGGCUAAUACCGCAUACGUCCUACGGGAGAAAGGGGGCUUCGGCUCCCGCUAUUGGAUGAGCCUAUGUCGGAUUAGCUAGUUGGUAAGGUAAUGGCUUACCAAGGCAACGAUCCGUAGCUGGUCUGAGAGGAUGAUCAGCCACAUCGGGACUGAGACACGGCCCGAACUCCUACGGGAGGCAGCAGUGGGGAAUAUUGGACAAUGGGGGCAACCCUGAUCCAGCCAUGCCGCGUGUGUGAAGAAGGCCCUCGGGUUGUAAAGCACUUUCAGCGAGGAAGAACGCCUGGCGGUUAAUACCCACCAGGAAAGACAUCACUCGCAGAAGAAGCACCGGCUAACUCCGUGCCAGCAGCCGCGGUAAUACGGAGGGUGCAAGCGUUAAUCGGAAUUACUGGGCGUAAAGCGCGCGUAGGUGGCUUGAUAAGCCGGUUGUGAAAGCCCCGGGCUCAACCUGGGAACGGCAUCCGGAACUGUCAGGCUAGAGUGCAGGAGAGGAAGGUAGAAUUCCCGGUGUAGCGGUGAAAUGCGUAGAGAUCGGGAGGAAUACCAGUGGCGAAGGCGGCCUUCUGGACUGACACUGACACUGAGGUGCGAAAGCGUGGGUAGCAAACAGGAUUAGAUACCCUGGUAGUCCACGCCGUAAACGAUGUCGACCAGCCGUUGGGGUGCCUAGAGCACUUUGUGGCGAAGUUAACGCGAUAAGUCGA
This 810-nucleotide ribosomal RNA is filed under the name uncultured bacterium. Its description in RNAcentral is "bacterial SSU rRNA". It matches the Rfam family "Bacterial small subunit ribosomal RNA", at positions 62 to 868 of the family's 1533-position model. The record is from RNAcentral.